RNAcentral lists this ribosomal RNA (198 nucleotides) under uncultured Geobacter sp. Its description in RNAcentral is "partial 16S ribosomal RNA". It matches the Rfam family "Bacterial small subunit ribosomal RNA", at positions 334 to 525 of the family's 1533-position model. Lineage: Bacteria; Pseudomonadati; Thermodesulfobacteriota; Desulfuromonadia; Geobacterales; Geobacteraceae. The record is from RNAcentral.
UACUCCUACGGGAGGCAGCAGUGGGGAAUUUUGCGCAAUGGGGGAAACCCUGACGCAGCAACGCCGCGUGAGUGAUGAAGGCCUUCGGGUCGUAAAGCCCUGUCGGGAGGGAAGAACCGCUCCGACCCAAUACGUCGGAGCCUGACGGUACCUCCUAAGGAAGCACCGGCUAACUCCGUGCCAGCAGCCGCGGUAAUA